UUUGUUGAACUUCUUUAGGUUCCUCAGAAGUGCCCUAUCCUCUUUUUUCUUUUAAAUUUUGUGUCUAUAUUAGGCCAGUGGAGAAUACACAAGAUCCAGUGGAGAAUACACAAGAUCCAUAAGGGCAGUAGAUGCUGCCUGGCAUGCUUCAUUUAGUUCUGCAAUAAACAGAGCGUGCAGCAUGGUGGUGGAUCUCACUUGAGACCCUGAGGAAACAUCCCACAGGAAAUGAUGAAAAAUAAUAAAGAAUGUUACAUGUACUUGGCAGCAUUUAUUGCCAAGCAAAUGAGAUGGAAACUCAGAGGUGGGAAGAAGCAGUGACUGUGCCUCAUCUACCUGAAAAUUCUCACUUUUAACUCCUGAAAUUAAAAAUAAAUAAAACACAGUAUGGCCCAC
This 396-nucleotide long non-coding RNA is filed under the name Bos taurus (domestic cattle). RNAcentral's name for it is "long non-coding RNA NONBTAT025300". The record is from RNAcentral. Lineage: Eukaryota; Metazoa; Chordata; Mammalia; Artiodactyla; Bovidae.